UGGGGAAUAUUGCACAAUGGGCGAAAGCCUGAUGCAGCAACGCCGCGUGAGUGAUGAAGGCCUUCGGGUUGUAAAGCUCUGUCUUCUGGGACGAUAAUGACGGUACCAGAGGAGGAAGCCACGGCUAACUACGUGCCAGCAGCCGCGGUAAUACGUAGGUGGCAAGCGUUGUCCGGAUUUACUGGGCGUAAAGGAUGCGUAGGCGGAUAUUUAAGUGGGAUGUGAAAUACCCGGGCUCAACCUGGGUGCUGCAUUCCAAACUGGAUAUCUGGAGUGCGGGAGAGGAAAGUGGAAUUCCUAGUGUAGCGGUGAAAUGCGUAGAGAUUAGGAAGAACACCAGUGGCGAAGGCGACUUUCUGGACCGUAACUGACGCUGAGGCAUGAAAGCGUGGGGAGCAAACA
This 402-nucleotide ribosomal RNA is filed under the name uncultured bacterium. Its description in RNAcentral is "bacterial SSU rRNA". It matches the Rfam family "Bacterial small subunit ribosomal RNA", at positions 355 to 774 of the family's 1533-position model. The record is from RNAcentral.